GACCCCCGGCCCUGAGGCCGGGUCUGGCAGAAGCGUCCGGGCUGCAGCGAGUGGACCCCGGCCCGAGCGGGCCCACCCGGGCCUCGGGUCGCCACAGCUGCCGGGCCCUCCUCGCCCUCGGUGGUCGGAGAAUCCCGAUACCGGAAAUGGACCAAUUUUGACAAGAUGUAGUGCUGCAGUGUGCCUGAUGGGAUAUGUUCAGUCAUGGCAUCCGAACUUUGUAAGACGAUCUCUGUGGCAAGGCUGGAAAAGCACAAGAAUUUGUUCUUAAAUUAUAGGAAUCUGCAGCAUUUCCCAUUGGAGUUACUAAAAGAUGAGGGACUACAGUACUUGGAGAGACUCUACAUGAAAAGGAACUCCCUUACAACCUUGCCAGAAAACCUUGCUCAGAAGCUUCCAAACCUUGUGGAACUGUAUCUUCACUCAAAUAACAUAGUUGUGGUUCCGGAAGCCAUUGGGUCCCUUGUAAAACUACAGUGUUUGGAUCUUAGUGACAAUGCCUUAGAAAUUGUUUGCCCAGAAAUUGGUCGUCUGAGAGCUUUACGUCAUCUUCGAUUAGCUAAUAACCAACUGCAAUUCCUACCUCCAGAGGUUGGCGAUUUGAAGGAGCUGCAGACACUAGACAUUUCUACCAAUCGUUUGCUAACUUUACCCGAGAGGCUUCACCUGUGCCUUUCUCUGCAGUACCUCACUGUGGACCGAAAUCGUCUGUGGUGUGUGCCGCGCCAUCUCUGCCAGCUGCCCAGCCUCAAUGAGCUCUCCAUGGCUGGAAACCGUCUUGCAUUUUUGCCGCUUGAUUUAGGUCGAUCUCGAGAACUACAAUAUGUGUACGUGGAUAACAACAUUCAUCUGAAAGGCUUGCCGUCCUAUCUGUACAACAAAGUCAUCGGGUGCAGUGGCUGUGGUGUUCCCAUUCAAGUUUCCGAGGUGAAGCUGCUUUCCUUUUCAUCAGGGCAACUAACAGUUUUCCUCCCUGCUGAGGUGAAGGCCAUAGGGACAGAGAAGGAUCACGUCCUGCCUCUGCAAGAGCUGGCCAUGAGGAGUCUGCAUCACACCUACCACAGUUUUCUAAAAGAUCUGGACUUUCUGUCUCCAGUCUCGUUACCCAGAAGUCUUCUGGAGCUGCUGCACUGCCCCUUGGGGCACUGUCACCGGUGUAGUGAGCCCAUGUUUACGAUUGUUUACCCCAAGCUAUUUCCCUUGAGAGAGACGCCAAUGGCAGGACUGCACCAGGGGCCUCUCACCGUUGUGACCUCUCCCAUUGCGGAGCACAGGCUCCAGAUGCGCAAGCUCAGUGGCCAUGGCUCACGGGCCCAGCUGCUCCGCAGCAUGUGGGAUCUUCCUGGACCGGGGCACGAACCCAUGUCCCCUGCAUCGGCAGGCAGACUCUCAACCACUGCGCCACCAGGGAAGCCCUAGAUCUGAAUUUUUUACCUAUACCCUUUCCUCUCCCUGAAGAACUCCUUUCAACCUUUCUUGCAGGACAAGUUCGCUGGCAAUGAAUUCCCUUAGUUCUCAGUUUGUUUGAAAAAUUCUUUAUACUCCUUUACUUUUGUAGGAUAAUUUCACUGGAUAUAAAAUUCUAGGAGGACAACUGUGAGUUUUGUGGCUUACUGCUGCUCCACCCAGUGUCUGCAGACUUUUGACCUACUGAGUUGAUAAACACUCAAGAGCCUCAGGAGUGUUGCCAGCUUGACACUGCAGUUGCCUGCAUAUCGCACAGUGUGACAGAGGGACAGGAGAGUCCAGCCAGGCCCAACAGGCCCUUCCGAUCUGUCCUGUCACGCUUGGGGACUGCAGGACUCUGGAAAUGUCAUGAUUGAGCUUCAGAGCUGAAAUGCCUUCACCCUUCCCCCAAGUUGGAAUAUAUCCUUUCCCAAAUUAAGAA
Orcinus orca (killer whale) is the source of this 1888-nucleotide RNA transcript. It is a transcript of the gene named leucine rich repeat containing 28, with no coding region annotated. The record is from RefSeq and is a predicted model, not a curated record. The transcript has 11 exons. NCBI's taxonomy places the organism in Eukaryota, Metazoa, Chordata, Mammalia, Artiodactyla, Delphinidae.